GUAGUAUAACACUGGGACAGGGAAAUGGCCUCUGGAUUUUUUGGUGGAAGAUGGUCGGUGAUGGGUAAUAUUUUAGUGGAUUAGUUGUUUAUGAGUCGGAUAAGUAAUUGUCAAGUAUCCUCUAAAGCCAUAUUAAUAAGUUUUGAAUGUGCUUCAAACUUGUGUUUACAUGUCAAAUUUAUAUAUGCUUCUGUUGCAGGUUUAUAAAGCAGUUUUCUUGGUUGAUUGUUGUGGUACAGAGAUUCUUCAUUGUUGCAUCGCGGAAACAUUACACAGUUGACGUCAUUGUUGCAUGGUAUACUGUCAAUUUGGUAGUCUUCUUCAUUGACAAGAAAUUGCCAGGUUAGCCUGUGUAACCUUUGCAUCUGUCGUGUCUUUAUAAUAACAAUGUGCACUUUGGCUGUUUUUCAAUCUGUUUCUACCUAACUCCGUAAACAUGUUUUUGAACCACAGAGUAGUCCCAUUACUGUGUUCUUUUCUUAAUUCAACCUGGCAUGUUUGUACAAUGAUGCAGAGGCCUUGUUUAGUCAUCUGUCGUUGCAUA
Molecule: long non-coding RNA, 544 nt
Organism: Syzygium oleosum
Lineage: Eukaryota; Viridiplantae; Streptophyta; Magnoliopsida; Myrtales; Myrtaceae
Exons: 2
Source: RefSeq, a predicted model, not a curated record